AUUGAACGCUGGCGGCAGGCCUAACACAUGCAAGUCGAGCGGAUGAAGGGAGCUUGCUCCUGGAUUCAGCGGCGGACGGGUGAGUAAUGCCUAGGAAUCUGCCUGGUAGUGGGGGAUAACGUCCGGAAACGGGCGCUAAUACCGCAUACGUCCUGAGGGAGAAAGUGGGGGAUCUUCGGACCUCACGCUAUCAGAUGAGCCUAGGUCGGAUUAGCUAGUUGGUGGGGUAAAGGCCUACCAAGGCGACGAUCCGUAACUGGUCUGAGAGGAUGAUCAGUCACACUGGAACUGAGACACGGUCCAGACUCCUACGGGAGGCAGCAGUGGGGAAUAUUGGACAAAGGGCGAAAGCCUGAUCCAGCCAUGCCGCGUGUGUGAAGAAGGUCUUCGGAUUGUAAAGCUCUUUAAGUUGGGAGGAAGGGCAGUAAGUUAAUACCUUGCUGUUUUGACGUUACCAACAGAAUAAGCACCGGCUAACUUCGUG
RNAcentral lists this ribosomal RNA (484 nucleotides) under uncultured bacterium. RNAcentral describes it as "partial 16S ribosomal RNA". It matches the Rfam family "Bacterial small subunit ribosomal RNA", at positions 30 to 507 of the family's 1533-position model. The record is from RNAcentral.